UGAUAUUUCAUACGUUGACUCAUCCCAGGAUCAAACAGAGGUAAAUAGGUUGAUAUUUCAUACGUUGACUCAUCCCAGGAUCAAACAGAGGUAAAUAGAUUGAUAUUUCAUACGUUGACUCAUCCCGGGAUCAAACAGAGUUAAAUAGGUUGAUAUUUCAUACGUUGACUCAUCCCGGGAUCAAACAAAGUUAAAUAGGUUGAUAUUUCAUACGUUGACUCAUCCCGGGUUCACACAGAGUUUGUCGGGGCCUCGGGACUCUCUAAUUUGCGUCACGCUGAGGUAGAAACACUAGGCUGCCGACCAAGCCAAAACCAGGGAGAAUUCAUGGAACCCAUCCAGAAGUGCCUUGCAGACAGCAUUGUGGAAAGGAGCAAUCCGUAAUCAAUCAGACGGUGUGAACGUAGUUUCACCAAUCAACGUCAGAAUACAUGACCCUCCCUCAGGACAUAGGACGGCAUGUGUGUUCAAUUAUUCACUCUCUAUGUGAAAGGAAACAGUGUGCUUUUCGCUAUUGAAUGCAAACUAGGUCCAGACAAAGAACUUCUUAACUAAAUCAAGGAUGUAGUCUUCAUGAAAUGGAUUAUUACCCAGUAUAGCAGACCAUUGCAGAGAUGGAGAAUGCAUUAGGUUAGACAGAGACUAGAAAAUACCGAUUUCUAAUCUCGAUUCCAUCCACAACGUAGUAGAAGCAAUUUCUAUGCAACGUACAAACUCUGAACAGUCAGUCGUUCGACCGUUAAAAUUUCAAGUGGCUCAGGACAAGCCAAUGUGAUAGACAGAAUAACUAAGUCCCAG
Molecule: long non-coding RNA, 798 nt
Organism: Oncorhynchus tshawytscha (Chinook salmon)
Lineage: Eukaryota; Metazoa; Chordata; Actinopteri; Salmoniformes; Salmonidae
Source: Ensembl